AUUGAACGCUAGCGGGAUGCCUUACACAUGCAAGUCGAACGGCAGCACGGACUUCGGUCUGGUGGCGAGUGGCGAACGGGUGAGUAAUGUAUCGGAACGUGCCCAGUAGCGGGGGAUAACUACGCGAAAGCGUAGCUAAUACCGCAUACGCCCUACGGGGGAAAGCAGGGGAUCGCAAGACCUUGCACUAUUGGAGCGGCCGAUAUCGGAUUAGCUAGUUGGUGGGGUAACGGCUCACCAAGGCGACGAUCCGUAGCUGGUUUGAGAGGACGACCAGCCACACUGGGACUGAGACACGGCCCAGACUCCUACGGGAGGCAGCAGUGGGGAAUUUUGGACAAUGGGGGAAACCCUGAUCCAGCCAUCCCGCGUGUGCGAUGAAGGCCUUCGGGUUGUAAAGCACUUUUGGCAGGAAAGAAACGUCAUGGGUUAAUACCCCGUGAAACUGACGGUACCUGCAGAAUAAGCACCG
RNAcentral lists this ribosomal RNA (472 nucleotides) under Achromobacter xylosoxidans. RNAcentral describes it as "bacterial SSU rRNA". It matches the Rfam family "Bacterial small subunit ribosomal RNA", at positions 30 to 495 of the family's 1533-position model. Lineage: Bacteria; Pseudomonadati; Pseudomonadota; Betaproteobacteria; Burkholderiales; Alcaligenaceae. The record is from RNAcentral.